Molecule: long non-coding RNA, 765 nt
Filed under: Rattus norvegicus (Norway rat)
Lineage: Eukaryota; Metazoa; Chordata; Mammalia; Rodentia; Muridae
Description: long non-coding RNA NONRATT007961
Source: RNAcentral
CGCCAACCCCCGACCGCGCUGGCAGGUUCGGGUUACCGGGCGGCGGUGAUUUCAGAGAUCUGGCACCCCGGGUCGCCCUUCCACCUUCUCAGAGAAUCCAGGGGGUCUGAAGGAAAACAAAAACCCGGGGCUCGAGCAGGCAGGGAUGGGGCCAAGCCGGGCCCGGCCGAGGCCGAGAGACCCGGGGCAAGGGCGCCCUCCAUGCCGGCUCGCGGACACCCGGCGUCCCGGGCCUGCCCGAGGAAGGCUCAGGUAGCGAGUGGCGGGCGGCGUCCAGGGCAACAGGUCGAACCAGACCCGCGGCCUCCACGAGCGACAGAGCGGUCCCCGGAACCUCCCCUCCAGAGCUGAGGAGGGGACGCGGGCUCCUCAGAGAGCCGCUCCCGAGGCGGCGCAGGGGCAAGGAGUCCACGCUCCAUCUUGAGGCGGCGGGAGGAAGGCAAGGCCCGGGCCGCGGCUGGCAGGGCCGGACGCGCGCCGCUCGCAGCCAGCCUUCCUCACAGCCGCGCUCUCCUCGUGCCCUCCACCCUCACGGGUGCGUCCGCGUCUCUUCAGCCGCGGACCCGGUGCGUGGCGGGAGCUCGAGACGAGCUCCCCUCCCAGCGUCCCCCGGACCCCGGCGGCGGGAAGGAGCGGAGGGAGAGGAAGGGUGGGACGGCGAGGAAGGGGAGAUCAGGCCCGCGCUUCGCUCACCGCCUGAGACGCCGUCGGUCGCCGUCACCUGCCUCCCAGUAGCAGCAGCAGCAGCAGCAGCCGCCGCGGCCG